Long non-coding RNA from Gasterosteus aculeatus aculeatus (three-spined stickleback), 3388 nucleotides. The record is from Ensembl. NCBI's taxonomy places the organism in Eukaryota, Metazoa, Chordata, Actinopteri, Perciformes, Gasterosteidae.
UGUCGAUCUAAAUUUUGCCACAGUGCCAAAUGUAAGUGUGUCUCUGAGUACAUCUGUGUGUGUGUGUCAUGAGUAGAUCUAGGUUUGCUCCGGAGGGGUUGACGCGGCGUCCUGAUGGAAUCCUGAUGGCGUCCCGAUGACGUGGCGUCCUGAUGGCGUCCCGAUGACGUGGCGUCCUGAUGGCGUCCCGAAGACGUGGCGUCCUGAUGGCGUCCUGUUGGUCUGCAGACAAGGAGAAGAGACGUGAGGAGGAUCAUCAGGGUGUGCCUGUGUGUACAUCUAAUUGUUAGUGGGUCUGUGUGUAGAUCUAAUUGUUAGUGUGUCCAUCUAAUUGUUAGUGUGUCUGUGUGUAGAUCUAAUUGUUAGUGUGUCUGUGUACAUCUAAUUGUUAGUGUGUCUGUGUGUACCUCUAAUUGUUAGUGUGUCUGUGUGUACAUCUAAUUUAUAGUGUGUCUGUGUGUACAUCUAAUUGUAAGUGUGUCUGUGUACAUCUAAUUGUUAGUUUGUCUGUGUGUACAUCUAAAUAUUAGUGUGUGUCUUUGUUUAGAACCAAAUGAUAGUGUGUCUGUGUGUAGAUCUAGAUAUUAAUGUGUCUGUGUGUAGAUCUAAUUGUUAAGUGUGUCCGUGUGUACCUCUAAUUGUUAGUGUGUCUGUGUGUACAUCUAAAUGUUAGUGUGUCUGUGUGUACAUCUAAAUAUUAGUGUGUGUAUUUGUUUAGAACCAAAUGAUAGUGUGUCUGUGUGUAGAUCUAAUUGUUAAUGUGUCUGUGUGUAGAUCUAAUUGUUAGUGUGUCCGUGUGUACAUCUAAUUGUUAGUGUGUCUGUGUGGAUCUAAUUGUUAGUGUGUCUGUGUGUAGAUCUAAAUAUGAAUGUGUCUUUGUGUACAUCUAAAUGUUAGUGUGUGUCUUUGUUUAGAACCAAAUGUUAGUGUGUGUGUGAGUCGCGACAUCCCUCGCAGUGUGUGGGUGUGUGUGUGUGUCAUGAGUAGAUCUGGAUUUGCUGCUGAGGGGUUGACGCGGCGUCCUGAUGGCGUCCCGAUGACGUCCCGAUGACGUGGUGUCCUGAUGGCGUCCCGAUGACGUGGCGUCAUGAUGGCAUCCUGUCUGCAGACAAGGAGAAGAGACGUGAGGAGGAUCAUCAGGAUGUGUCUGUGUGUACAUCUAAUUGUUAGUGGGUCUGUGUGUACAUCUAAUAGUUAGUGUGUCUUAGUGUACAUCUAAAUGUUAGUGUGUCUUUGUGUACAUCUAAUUGUUAGUGGGUCCGUGUGUACAUCUAAUUGUCAGUGUGUCUGUGUGUACAUCUAAAUAUUAAUGUGUCUUUGUGUACAUCCAACUGUUAGUGUGUGUCUUUGUUUAGAACCAAAUGUUAGUGGGUCUGUGAGUACAUCUGUGUGUGUGUGUGUGUGGGUGUGUGUGUGUGUCAUGAGUAGAUCUGGAUUUGCUCCUGAGGGGCUGACGCGGCGUCCUGAAGGCGUCCCGAUGACGUGGCGUCCUGUUGGUCUGCAGACAAGGAGAAGAGACGUGAGGAGGGUCACCAGGAUGUGUCUGUGUGUACAUCUAAAUGUUAGUGGGUCUGUGUGUAGAUCUAAUUGUUAGUGUGUCUGUGUGUAGAUCUAAUUGUUAGUGUGUCUGUGUGUACAUCUAAAUAUUAAUGUGUCUUUGUGUACAUCUAAAUGUUAGUGUGUGUCAUUGUUUAGAACCAAAUGUUAGUGUGUCUGUGUGUACAUCUGUGUGUGUGUGUGUAUGUGUGUCAUGCGUAGAUCUGGAUUUGCUCCUGAGGGGUUGACGUGACGUCCUGAUGGCGUCCCGUUGACGUGGCGUCCUGAUGGCACCCUGAUGGCGUCCCGUUGACGUGGCGUCCUGAUGGCGUCCCGUUGGUCUACAGACAAGGAGAAGAGACGUGAGGAGGAUCAUCAGGAUGUGAGACAAGAUUCAUAGAUCCAAUUAUUUUAAUUUGAUGCACAUUUUAAUUAUUUCAUGUUUGUAUGGAUGUGUAAAUCUACAUUAUAUAUUUGUGGUUGUUAAACUGUAUUUCUGUAUUUGCUUUUUAUGUUUAGCUAGUCACUGUGCAUACCAAUAUGUUAGUGCGUCUCUGUGUAAGUACUUUUUACAUUACAUUACAUUUCAUUUAGCUGACGCUUUUAUCCAAAGCGACUUACAAUAAGUGCAUUCAACCAUAGGGUACAAACUCAGAAGUGCAAUUUCCUCAAAUAACUUUUAUAUGUUAGUGCGUCUCUGUGUAAGUACUUUUAUAUGUUAAUGCGUCUCUGUGUACAUCUACAUGACAACAGCAGGAAUCAGAGGUUUAUCUCAAGGUAUUAGCUUUAAAUCACAGCCUUCCCCACCCGAUAGACCAAUACAUCAUUCACAGCAGUAAGGCUGCAGUCUGUCUGGAUUCCUCACUUACCUUGAGCUCUGUUAAGUGCAGCAGAACGCGUCUUCAUUCCCUCUACAGACUCCUGAGGCAUUACAUGGUUGCGUUCUGCAAGUGUAGGUCCGGAAAACUUCAGUGUGUAGAUGCGAGGUUUGAAACUGACUGACUGGAUGUGCAACAGACUGUGUUCUUAUGCUGUGGUGAACGGAGCAUAGAACAUAGAACAUGGAACAUGGAACAUGGAGAAAUGUUCCAUCAUGAUGUAACGUCUCUAUGGUUACAGUGAAGGUAUCUACAAUAUGCAAAUGAGCCUUUAGAGUAAAUGUGUGUGUGUAUUUGUAUUGAUGGAGCUCAUCCACUUGACAUGGUGCAUAAAACACUUUGCUCUACUUGUUUUUUUCUAUGACCCCAUCUUGAUCUUGAAAGCAAACACUUAAAGAAUAAAUAAAGAACGAUUUUUGUCCAUUGUUUCAUCAAGUCGGAAAUUUGUAAACUGUUGAAUCCGGAUUUUUAAACAUCCCUUUCGAGCCCUCUUGUCUCCAGUCUUCAUGCUAAGCUAACCAGCGGCUGGCUUUAGCUUCACGUUGAGCGCGCAGACAUGAGAGUAGGGAUGAGUAUCGUUUGGGUUUUCCGAUACCGAUCCUAAACAGCCUGAACCCAAACACAACUGAAGAAAAGUUUUUUUUCACUUCAAACUAUGCACAAUAUAUGAACUUUUGAAAGUUUACAGUAUGAUUACAGUGUUUCCCCUCUGUAACAGCGGAAGUGUAGUUAAUUGGAAUUUGGGGAAUAUUAAUCAUUUAAUCUGAGAUUCAUGUUCAUUGUGCAGAACUAAAGACAUUUAUUGAAAAGCAUUUACGUUAGAUUGACGCCCCUUGUUUGUCUCAAAGUAUUGACGUGCAACACAGAAGAGCUGCAUGAGGCACGAGAGCACAUCGCUUUUCUAUUGUGUAGAGAAAUAAAUACGAAUAGAAGGCAGAUGGCUAGCUAGCUGCUGUAGCUACACAAGCGGUGAG